UUUGCUAUCAAAUUCUUAAUAGGUCAUUGUUGUUAUCAAGUUGGCCAUGACAAAGUUGGCAGGGCAAGCGAGCAACUACACUUGAAAGGACCCUCAGUUUUGUGUCAGUCAUUAGCUACACAAAAAAAUCCCUAUAGACCUAUUACCUAAAACAUAAUAACAAAUCACAUAACUGCAAUCAUGAAAAUUUCUGUAAUUCAUUUGUACAAAUUCAGCCAGAGUUAGUAAUAAUUUGAUAUCGCAAGCACUCACUGCAGAGUAAUAUCCAAACUCUUGGAAAAUUACUGCCUAGAGUAAAGUAAACAAGCGCAAGAAUGAAAUCUUAAGAGUCAUCAACAUAGCCAACAGUACUAAAAUCACCUCCUUCUCAAUCUUCUUGAGUUGCUGCAAAAGCAAGGAAAUGUAUUAGGUUCAGAAAUUUAACAUUCUGUAUAACAAAUAACAUAAACAGAAUAUGUCGAAGUAUGGUACCUUUAAAGAAACCAGCAGGAUCCAUGAAUGAUACCCCUGUUAUGUAGUUGCUGGUGGGAUUUCGUAACUUCUUCUUCACUUUCCAAGUCAUUCCACCAGACUGCUUCUAGUUUGAUCUUUAGUGUGAAUCAUGAAUGACAAAUUAAGUGUGAAUCUACAGGGACACUUCAGAGAAACAAAUGCCUACAGACCCUUUCAACAAGAAUCUACAUUGAUACCCCUCUAUAAAUCAAGGUCCUCAUCGUCAAAAAAUAUUACAACUGAGCCAUCUACCGUGGUUUGGAGAAAGGCGAAUGUAGUAACUUACAAUCAACAUUGUAUUCUAUAUAGACUAGGGCUGGGCAAAACCGAUCUGAAACAUGCAUACCGAACCAAUCCGAACCGAAAAUAAGGUGUUUGCAUAUUUCCCUGUUCGGUUGCAGGCUGUUUUUGCAAAACACCUGCUUUGGGUGUUCGAUUGCAGUUUAAAAAAUUUCCGAACACCCAAAACCGAACCGAACAUGUAAUUCUGUAUACAAUCCAGCCAAUCUCUACAGCCCAUCUGUCCAACACUCCAGCAGUCCAGCUCAUCUGUUCUUCUUCUUCGAUAAUCAAGCAAAUAUGCAAUCCCUAAUCCAGCCUCCACAGCCUCCAUUAGUCCACUCCUCGUCUCCUUUUCUUCUUCUUCUUCAAAUUCAAAUCCAUUAACUUCUUUCGUCAAAAAGGAAAAAUACUCAAACAAGAAAACAAUUGAGAAGUGUUUUUCAAUCCCUAGUCAAUUGAAGUUUCAUCAAAAAGGAUUUUCGUCAAGUUAAAAGGUAAGUUUUUAUCUUUUUUUUGUUUCUAUUCUUCUUCAAAUUCAAAUCACUAAUUGAAAGCAAUUGUUUGAUUAGGGAUUUUAUACUGAUUUCAUCAAAAAAACCUUGGGAGUUUGACUUUUAAAGGAAUUCAAAUCCCUAAUGUUAUCUUUUUCAUUUGAUGUCUCAGUUUCAGAUUUCUUAUUUUAUAAAUUUGCGAUUUUAUAAAUUCAAUUGAUGAAUUUUGAUUGAUUGCGCGCAGUUUACAGUUUUAAUUGAUGAAUUUUAUUCUUCUUUUUGUAGUGUUCUCUAAUUAAACGGCUUCUAACUCAAAGUCAAAAGCACCUAUGGAUAUCACUUCCUCACAACCUAUGGCUAACUCUACUGCUUUCGCAUCUGGCUCUGCUGCUACCUCUGCGAGUACUGCAACUGGCCCAAACCCUCCAAAAUCUGGUAACAAAAGAUCACUUUGUUGGACUAAUUUACUUUAGUUAAGGAUUCUAAACUAAAACGAGCUACAUGUAACUAUUGUGGGCAACUUUAUGCUUGUGAAGGAACAUCUAAUGACACUAUUAAUAUGAAUAAUCAUAUACUCUUACGUAGAUGUAAGAAAUAUAGUUAUCCCACACCUAAUUCUCAAACAACUCUAGAUUGCAAAGUAACCAAGGAAGGGAAACCACAACUUGUACCGGUUAGUUUCAGUUUAGAAGCUUGUAGAAAAGCCCUCACUAAGAUGAUCAUUGUGGAUGAGUUGCCUUUUAGAUUUGUAGAAGGUGAGGGGUUUAAAGAAUUUGUCAAAAUGUUGCAACCUAAGUUUGUCUUGCCUUUUCGUCAAACUGUUGGUAGGGAUUGCCUUAAGCUUUAUAUAGAAGAAAAGAAGAAGUUAAAGAAUGGUUUGAAAGGGCAAAGGGUAUAUCUCACAACCGAUACAUGGACUUCAAUCCAAAACUUGAACUACAUGGUACCCACGGCCCAUUUUAUUGAUAGUGAUUGGAAAUUGCACAAAAGAAUCCUAAAUUUUUGUCAAGUUCCAAAUCACAAGGGUGAGACCAUUGGUAAGCUAGUUGAGAAAUGCUUGCAAGAUUGGGACAUUGGUAGUAUUUUUACAAUUACCGUUGAUAAUGCAAGUUCUAAUAAUGUUGCCAUUGAUUACUUGAAGUUAAACACAAGUCAUUGGGAAGAGACUAUUUUAGGACACAAGUAUAAGCACACGAGAUGUUGUGCACAUAUUUUUAUUCUUGUUGUUUCCGACGGUUUAAAGUUAGUGGAUGAGUCGGUUUUAAAAGUUCGUAAUGCGGUUAGAUUUGUGAGGUCUUCCACUCAUAGGCUUGUACUAUUUAACAAAUAUGUGAAAGAAGCCAAAUCAAUUGUGAUAAGUUGUUGUGCUUAGAUGUUCCAACUAGAUGGAACUCUACUUACAUUAUGCUUGAUGCGGCGGAGAAGUUUGAACUUGCUUUCAAACGAUUGGAUGGUAAUACACAAUACAAGAAGCAUUUUGCGGAUGAACAAUUUGGGAAGGACAAGGUUAUCUUGUCAGCUCCUAAUGUAAGCGAUUGGGUGAAUGUUAGACAAUUGGUGAAGUUCUUGAAAGUGUUUUACAAUGCCACACUACGAGUCUCCGGUUCUUUAUAUGUCACACAUCUAAUGUUUUUUUAAUGAACUUUACCUCAUUGAGAAUAGAUUGUCCAAACUUGCCACUAGUAUGAAUGAUCGGUUAAGUGAUAUUGGUUUAACUAUACAACAGAAAUAUUCAAAGUAUUGGGGUUUGGAUCGUGUUAAUCUUUUGUUGUACAUUACUAUGGCGUUUGAUCCUCGAAGGAAGAUAGAGUAUGUAUUAUUUUGUUUUAAAGAGUUGUAUGGUGAAUCAACCGCACAAGUUAUGAUUGAUAAGGUGAAUAGGAAAUUGUUUAAGUUGUGAAUCAACCGCACAAGUUAAGUCACACCUUAUCAACCAUAACUUGUGCACAAGUUAAGUCACACCUUGUUCUUCCCAAAUCGUUUACAUUAGGAGGUGACAUGAUAACCUUGUCCUUCCCAAAUCGUUCAUCCGCAAAAUGCUUCUUGUAUUAUGCAUUACCAUCCAAUCGUUUGAAAACAAGUUCAAACUUCUCCGCCGCAUCAAGCAUAAUGUAAGUAGAGUUCCAUCUAGUUCGAACAUUUAAGCACAACAACUUAUCACAAUUGAUUUUGGCUUCUUUCACACAUUUGUUAAAUAAUACAAGCGUAUGAGCGGAAGACCUCACAAAUCUAAUCGCAUUACGAACUUUCAAAACCGAUUCAUCCACUAACUCUAAACCGUCGGAAACAACAAGAUUAAGAAUAUUUGCACAACAUUUCAAGUGCAUAUACUUUUGUCCUAAAAUAGUCCCUUCCCAAUGACUUGUGUUUAACUUCAAGUAAUCAAUGACAACAUUAUUAGAACUUACGUUGAUAUAUCAACGGUAAUUAUAAAAAUACUACCAAUAUCCCAAUCUUGCAAGCAUUUCUCAACUAGCUUACUAAUGGUCUCACCCUUGUGAUUUAGAACUUAGACAAAAAUUUAGGAUUCUUUUGUGCAAUUUCCAAUCACUAUCAAUAAAAUGGGCCGUGAGUACCAUGUAGUUCGAGUUUUGAAUUGAAGUCCAUGUAUCGGUUGUGAGAUAUACCCUUUGCCCUUUCAAACCAUUCUUUAACUUCUUCUAUAUAAAGCUUAAGGCAAUCCCUACCAACAGUUUGACGAAAAGGCAAGACAAACUUAGGUUGCAACAUUUUAACGAAUUCUCUAAACCCCUCACCUUCUACAAAUCUAAAAAGCAACUCAUCCACAAUGAUCAUCUUAGUGAGGACUUUUCUACAAGCUUCUAAACUGAAACUAACCGGUACAAGUUGUUGUUUCCCUUCCUUGGUUACUUUGCAAUCUAGAGUUGUUUAAGAAUUAUGUGUAGGAUAACUAUAUUUCUUACAUCUACGUAAGAGUAUAUGAUUAUUCAUAUUAGUGGUGCCAUUAGAUGUUCAUUCACAAGCAUAAGGUUGCCCACGAUAGUUACAUGUAGCUUGUUUUGGUUUAGAAUCCUUAACUAAAGUAAAAUGAAUCCAACAAAGUGAUCUUUUGUUACCAGAUUUUGGAGGGGUUGGGCCAGUCGCAGUACUCGCAGAUGUAGCAGUAGAGCCAGAUGUUAAAGCAGUAGAGUUAGCCAUAGGUUGUGAGGAAGUGAUAUCCAUAGGUGCUUUUGACUUUGAGUUAGAAGCCAUUUAAUUAGAGAGCACUGCAAAAAGAAGAAUAAAAUUCAAUCAUAAUUCACCAAUUAAAACUGUAAACUGCGCCAAUCAAUCAAAAUUCAUCAAUUGAAUUUUAUAAAAUCGCAAAUUUAUAAAAUAAGAAAUCUGAAACUAAGACAUCAAAUGAAAAAGAUAACAUUAGGGAUUUGAAUUCUUUUAAAAGUCAAACUCCCAAGGUUUUUUUGAUGAAAUCAGUAUAAAAUCCCUAAUCAAACAAUUGCUUUCAAUUGGUGAUUUGAAUUUGAAGAUAAUAGAAACAAAAAAAGAUAAAAACUUACCUUUUAACUUGAUGAAAAUCCUUUUUGAUGAAACUUCAAUUGAUUAGGGAUUGAAAAACACUUCUCAAUUGUUUUCUUGUUUGAGUAUUUUUCCUUUUUUUACGAAAGAAGUUAAUGGAUAUGAAUUUGAAGAAGAAGAAAAGGAGACGAGGAGUGGACUAAUGGAGACUGUGGAGUGUGGAGGCUAGAUUAGGGAUUGCAUAUUUGCUUGAUUAUCCAAGAAGAAGAACAGAUGGGCUGGACUGCUGGAGUGCUGGACAGAUGGGUUGGAGAGAUGAGCUGGACUGUAUACAUAAUUACAUGUUCGGUUUGGUUUUGGGUGUUCGGAAAUUUUUGAAACAUCAACCGAACACCCAAAGCAGGUGUUUUGCAAAAACAGAAACUGCAACCGAACAUGGAAACAUUCAAACACCUUAUUUUCGGUUCGGAUCAGUUCGGUUUGCAUGUUUCAGAUCGGUUUUGCCCAUCCCUACUCUGAACAAACUCUUCAAUUCAAGGAGCUUUGAGACCCAAAAUUUUUGUAAGAAUCUUCCUAGGGCCGCAUUUUCAUCUACCUCUUCUCCAUAGAAAACAGCAUCCAUGUUGUCACAAUUCUCUAUCCAGCAUUCUCUCAUUUCCUUUACAUUUUCAGCACCCACAUCUGACAGCCUUGUCAGAAAAUUAUUCUUCUUUAAAUACAAAAGCUCCAUAUGAACAAGAACUUCCUCAAUACCAGCUGGGAAAGUUUGAAAACCACACAUUUUGAAAAACUUGUCAGGCUCUUCUGUAAUUGAAGGAAUAUGGCUGGUCUGAUAGCAGAUAUCUUUGUAGGGAUAUUGUUGUCCCUGCAAGUAAAUGUCAUUUUCUCUUAUCCGUUCUUUAGGAGCAAAUAAACAGAAAUGAAAUUUCUCGAAAGAUUUUCCAUUAUAAAACUCCCAAAGGCUGUUUUCCUCUUCUAGUUUAAGAAACCUUAGAUGAGCCAAUGCCGAGAUGCCGUAUGAAAACUCCCUAACUUUUAUGCAAGAAAGGUCAAGCACUUCCAGCUUUGGAAGAAAUUCCAUAUGGGGCAAUGUCUCCAAAGAUGAACAAUCUUUCAGUAAAAGAGUCCGUAAGUUCCGAAGUCUGGAGAAGAAUGAUGGUAACACUGUGAUUGGUUUGUAAGAGAGGUCCACUCUUUGGAGGUUAACCAUGCCCUCAAAAGACAAAGUCUCCAAGUUCAAGCAGCCUCUUAGUGAAAGUUCACGAAGCUUACGUUCCAGAAAGAUAUCAAUUCCUGGAUGCUUGAACAAUCAUUCAAUAAGAGUUGGCAGAGACCAUUGGAUCCAGAAAGAAAUGAUAACUCCUCCAGUCUUGUGAGCUCAUCUAGCGGAGGCAAUGUCAAGAAGUUUGGGCAAUCUCUUAAUGAUAGUUGAUGGAGAUCUAUGCGUCCAGAAAUGAAUGAAAGAUCUGAAAUCUGGGUUCCAGAGAGAUCAAGUACUUGUAAGUAAUUAUAUUCAAGACCAGGAAAUUGAUAAUGAAAUUUGAUAAAAAAAAUUGCUCUGGAAAGGUUAAGUACAUUGAGUCUUGGGAGAUCUUCCAAGUCCGGCAGUUUCUCUAACUUUGAACAUCCUCCUAAUAUGAGCUUGCGAAGAUUGUAGCAUUCGGAUAGUGAAGGGAUUUGCACAACCUGAGUUUCAGAAAGGUUGAGUUCAUGCAGUUCUUCCUUCUUUCCCAAGGACUCAUCUUGGAUAUGCUUGGAAGAAAUAGCACCCGAGAGAUCAAGAAGCACAAGUUUUUCUAGUGCAAUUAAAUGUGGAAGUGUCUCAAGAUUCAAACACUUUCUCAGUAUUAAUAGUCAAAGUUCACUGCAUUGUGAAAGUGAGGGUAGGUUUACAACCUGGGUUUCAAAGAGAUUGAGUGUCUUCAGUUUCCGUAGCUUGUCCAAGGAAUCGUCCUUGAAUGUCUUGGAAUUAGUAAAACCUGAAAGGUCGAGCACUUGAAGUCUCCGAAGCUCCAAAUGUGGUAGUUCUUCAAGCAAUCCACUUUCUCUUAAAAUCAGUUGGACCAUAGCAGAAUGCAUAGACAACAUAGCCAUUAAAUGCGGCAACCAAGGUUGAUCCUAUCCUCUGCAGAAAGAUAGGUGCAGGAUCGCAAGCACUCAAUAACAUCCUUUUUUACCUGAAUGCAAAGGUCGCAAACUUUAUUUGUUAACUCAUCGACAUCCCCUCCAGAAGAGACAAUCACAUAUGGUAGACCCUGAAAUGAGGCAACAAAAGGUUGUACAAUUUCACGUACAUAUGGAGAAUCAAUGUCUAACCCAGUUAUUCGCAGGAACAACGACCAAGCUUCAUCACUAUUCAAAGGUUCCACCCGGCAGACCUUAUCCUUGUCCAUGGGAGCAAUAUACUCAUUGGGCACAGAUAUUAACACUUUGGAGGAAAAAUUCUGUUGCCAAGGAUCACUAAAUCCAAAGUUCCCAAGAUCAACUUUGUCAUACCUGAAAUCAUAAUAAGGAGGUAACUCUUUUUUCCCAAUGCUAAAGCGACCUUCUGCAUAAAAUCCUCCUUUUCGUAGGAUUCCUCAUAUGGGGCUCUCUCAUAAUAGAUAACCCUAACUGGUCCACAAUAUGCUCCUGAGCUUCUAAGAAACUUGUCUGAUUCGAGUCCAUCCAGAUGACGACGUCGAAGAGAUUGGCAGCGAUUGCUCUAUCCUUCAACUGCCUCGCCAUCCAUGUCUUUCCCAUUCCAACUUCCCCUUCAAUGCCAAUUGUUCCAACACGGUCAUUAUUUAACCAUUUCCACACUGUUUCCAUGUGCUCCAGUUGUUAAGGUAGUAAUACCCCUUGGUAUUCAUAAUUAUCCGCCUCGAUCAUAGCCUGUUGAACGGAUAACUCCAACCUGCACAGUUACAAAUAAUACCAUAAAGAAUGUUACCAAAUCUUUAAAAAAAAAAACAAAAAAACGAAGAACUGGCUCAAUAAGGAGUUACUAUCAACAAAGCCAUUAUCUAUUUUAUAUACUUUGUGAGUUCGUAGACAUACAACAGCCAUUAAAAUUUUCUUUUUUGCUUAAACAAGGUAGUCGUUUCUUACCUGUUCCUCGAAGAAACUGAUUCCACUAAUUCAAUUUCCUCUUCAGGCCCUUGUGAAUUCAUUAACUCUUGAGAUGAAAUGUGCAAUUCAGAUAUGCUCUCAAGAUCCAAAUUGUUAACAAGAUGGUGCACAGGUUGAAGGGAUUCACGCAUCUUUCGAAAAGUCUCAAGAAUUUUCUGCACGCCAGUUGUGGAAUGCUCGAGUUCGGAUUCAGGUAGAUCCUGCUUCAAACUACUUAGAAUUUGCUCAAUUUUAGCUCCAAAUUGAUCCAACAGCUCAUUCAUUAAUACCAUGAUUAGUCCAAGAAGAAACCAAUCCUUGCUCUUACGAUUCUGAAAUUAGGUAGAUACAUGUCAUUUGUAAAGACAACAGUCAGAAAUUCAUGGUCGAUAUGAAGUUGUUCAAAACCUCAAUUAUUUGUGCAAUUUCACAUAUGUUUUCUUUUUAAAUAAGCAUGCAUGUCACCCAAGAACAUAGUUACAAAUUUACGAUUAUGCUUUAGCAUGUAUGAGCAAUAGUUACUGUCAUCCAGUCUUUAUAAGAAAAAUACGUAGCUAUAAUUGAUUUUAAAAACAUAAUAAAAAGAGGACUUGGAUCAUUAUUACAUUACGAGAAAAGACAUAAAAAUGGUUGUUUGUUGAAACCUCAUCAUAGCAAAUAUAAUGAAAAUUUUGUUCAAUGAUUGAGAUUACAAGAGCAUAGUGAAAAUAUUUGAUGAUAAAUAAGCAGUUAUAUGAAAAAUGUAAAAAAAAAAAAAAAACAAAAAAAAACGCACAUAGGAUUACAAUUUAAACACAUAGUCAGGAAUAUUGAUUACAGUUUAUCUGCAAAUUUUGAAAAAAUACAAAAAAAAAAAAAAAAAUCACAGUUUAGAAAAGACUACUAACCUUAGAGAUACUGUUGCAAGCGAUCAAAGCAAGCAAUCAAAUUAAAACCACAAGAAGAUUCCUAAGUGUUGUUUCAAAGAGAAAGAUGAAUCAAUUCCCCAAAAACUAAAAUCUCUUUUGUGAUGUUUAUGUCAUGAUGCAGGAAGAAGAGCAUUAAUGAAAAUUAAAAUUAUAUAAACUCCAUACAAAACAGGUAUUACUAGAAAAAUUCUCAAGUAAGUGGACUAACCUUCUGCUCUUCACUAUGACCAAAUCCUCUGCCAGAUCGCGCCUCGCCAAAAUUAACACAUUGAUAUUCUUCACCCCAAGACUGCAAUAUCUUUUGUGCUCUAGACAUAAUAAUAAUAAGCAAUCUUCCAAUUUCAUAAAAAUCCACCUUUGUGUAAAACAUUCUCACUAAUUUGAUCACAAAUUGCAAAGAGGUCAGAAAAAAAUUAUGCAAAGUGGGGAAUUGGGGAUCAUUAAAAAGAGAGAAUGUAGAGAAAGAGACAUGUAUACACAACCCCAAUUCUUAAUCCUCUACAAAGAAAGAAACAUGAAAUUUGGCUCCAAACCUCAAUUGCUUACUAUAUUUUCUCUAAUUCCUCACCUGACAUAAAAGUAAACAUGCCCCCAAAAUAAGCAUUUACCUCUGUACAUGGCCAUUCAUUUAAAAGUUGAAAAAAAAAAAAAAAAUCUGGACAAUUUAUAUUUUUCUUAACUUUUAAUCCUAGUUCUUCACCAUGAAUUUUAUGGAAUUUGGAGUAUACAAAUGAAACCCUCGUUAUGGAAUUUUAUAGAAGAAGCCUAUAACAAACUGAAUACUGUAUCAACAACAGAGAAAGAAAAUUAUAAACCAAGGUACAGUACACAAAGAACAUUAUCAAGGAGAAGGGGUUUGCAAUUAUCAGGUAAUUGAUAAUACUUAAAAAAAACCACCAAUAUCUUCACAAAAAAAAAUAAAUAAAUAAAAAAACUUAGAAAAGACCAUCCAUCUCAAUGAAAAAAAAAAAAAAUUCUGACUCACCUUCUGUUCUUCAUUUUGAGAUCCCAAAUCUCACAUUCCUCAUUUUCUUCAGAAAACCACCUCACUAAAUCACUAAUACUGCAACUCCUCUAUGUUGCUCAACAGGCCCUAUGUCAAGAACAUUCUUAAUUUUAAGGACCAUUACCUAUAUAAUAUAUAUGUUUAGGCCUUUGUUCUAAAAUAUUUUGCUGAAAGCCCCUUUCUUUCUUUUUUAUCUCCAUCUUAAACCCUUAAACCCUGAAAAACUUCAAAUGAAGCUUGUUUUCUCUUCAAAUGGAUUCAAAUCUAUCUCUCUCUCACCAUUUUCAACUAGGGUUUUUGGGGUUUUGUUCUAUUCAACUGAAACCCAAACUUCAAUUAAAGGAGAUAAUACUCUAUAUAAUAGAAUAUUUUCAAUUAGUGAUUCAAAUGAAUCAAUUGUUCCAAUUCUUGAUCAAUGGGUUCAACAAGGCAAUAAUGUUGAUUUAUAUAAAUUUAGAUCUUUGAUAAAACAACUUAAAAGCUCCAAACGUUUCCAACAUGCUCUCCAGGUAUCUUUCUCAAAUGCCAACUUUAUUGUAUUGGAACAAAUGGGGUUGCUAGAUAAUUGUUGUUAAGGGUUAUAUUCUUGUUGAGUUUUUUUUUUUUUUUUUUGGCUUUUGAUAGAAUUCAUAGAGAAAUGAAGUAAUGAACAAAUUAUGUUAGGUUUAUUGUAAAUGUUGAGUUAUGUAAUUGCAUUUGAUUCAUAAGGGGGGCGGUGUGCGAGACUUUGAUUUAUGCAUUUUUAAUUAAUAAAAGGGUUUCAUAUUAUAUGUUUGUUCAAGAGAAUUUAACUAGAAAUUACGGACUAUAUAGUGUAUAUGGACUUUCGAUAUGCUUGCUUGUGUUUGUUUGUAAUGUGAUUGUAAUUGUUGAGAGCUGUCGUACGCAUUGAGGUGUACAUAUUUUUGCAAAUUGCUUAUUCAUUUACUAGUUAGUGUUGUUAUGAAAUAUGCCAAUAUGGUGAUAAAGUUUAGAAGAAAUAGAAGUGGUGUAUUGCAGUAUUGGUGUAAAACACAUUAAUCUAUGGAGCACGAACUCAUGGAUGAGAUAUCGUAUUUGUGGAACCAAGAUAGUUUUAGGUUCAUGCGUCUGUAUAUAUUUUAGAGUUUAGACUACGCAUGUUAUAAUGCAAAUUUAACGAAAGUUUUCCGGUAAAAAACAGAUGUAGAAUAAGGCACAUUGGGUGAGGUAGUAUAUAAAAAGCUAUUUGUUAUCAUAUAUUACUGAAUAUAAAGAGCAACUACAUAGUUUCUCAGCAAUAGAAAGAACUUCUUACUAAUCUCUUCUUCUUUUAUUGCAGAUGUCUAAGUGGAUGAGCGACCAGAGAAACUUAGACAUCAUUCGGAGUGAUUAUGUUGUCAAGCUGGACUUGAUUACAAAGGUUCAUGGUAUUGAACACGCGGAGAAGUACUUCAAUGACCUUCCAAAGAAAUCUAAAACUUUCCAAAUCAACUAUGUUCUUCUCGAAAGCUAUGCACAUAUUAAAUCGGUUGAAAAGGCAGAGUUUCAUAUGGAGAAGAUGAUGAAGUUGGGGUUUGUGAAGUCACUGCUUGUUUACAAUAUAAUGCUAAACCUCUACUCUAAGGUGGGAGAGUAUGAGAAAAUGAACACUCUAUUAGAAAAAAUGGAUGAGAAGGCUGUACGUCCAAGUAAGGUUACAGUUAACAUUUUGUUAAAUGCUUAUGCAACCACCCUAGAGAUUAAUGAGAUGGAGAAGACUAUACAAAAGAUGGAAGCAUUUCCUGAUGUUGAGGUUGACUCGCUUUCUUACAUAAUUGCUGCAAACACUUACAUCAAAGCUGGGCUGAUUGGCAAUGCUUUGGAAAUGCUGAAGAAAUCAGAAGAAUUGAUUUUAAGUGAAAAAAGAUGGUCGUCAUUUGGUUUUCUUCUUACGAUGUAUGCUCACUUAGGAAGGAAAGAGGAUUUACACAGAAUUUGGAAUCUGUACAAAUCAUCAGCUAAAGUUUGUAACACAGGUUAUCGUUGCAUGGUAGGCUCGCUUCUCAAGCUGAAUGACAUUGUUGGUGCCGAAAAGAUUAUAGAGGAAUGGGAAUCUGGCGUCAAUUCCUAUGAGUUUUGGAUCCCAAAUUUGCUGCUUGCUGCUUAUUGCAAGAAUGGCCUUUUGGAGAAGGCUGAAAUAUUUGUAAAAAAUGCGAUGGAGAAUGGAAGGAAGCCUUAUGAAACUACGUGGGACAUAUUAGCAACUGGGUACAUCAAUGCUAAUCAGAUUCCUAAGGCAGUUGAGGCUAUAAAAGAGGCAUUAUUGGUAAGACGACCAAGCUGGAAGCCAAAACGUGAUACUCUCUCUGCUUGUUUGGUAUACUUAAAACAGCAAGGGGAUGCUAAGGAGACAGAGGAGUUUGUGAGAAUACUUGGAAUUCCAGGGCAUACGUCAACAGCUGAUUGUGAGGGACUGUUAGAUUCUAUGUAUAAAGAAGCAGAAGUUGAAAAAGUGAAUGAGAUGGAUGGAGAUGUUUGGCAACUGGAUCCGUUAAAGUUAAAGAGACGCCCAAAGCAUUUGAGCCUUUGAAAACAGCUUCCUGCAUUGUGCACUUCAAAGCACAGAUGCGUGUCUUUGUUACCGAAGGAUAUCAUGAUUAUAUAUCUUUUAAUUAAUUUGCAGUACUUUCCUCGCAAAGUGAUACCAAUGUUAGAUUGCACGUCUGGGAAAGUGUAUCACAAAUAGACAGAGAUGCAGAUUCCAGACUAGUUGUGGGGAAGAAUCGAGACUUGUUACUAGAGCAGGAAGCCAUAAUUUAGAUUCGAGAGCAAAGAUAUGAGAAGAAAUUGCUGAAGAUAAUGAUAUUGGUCUGUCAGAAAAGGAAGGGUAUCAAGUUCCAGAAUUUGAGCUUCUACUGGGAACGUCACUUGUCAAAUAUUAGAGGAACCCUCGUGGAUUAUAGAAGCAGAAGUUGGCAAAGGGAAUGAGAUGAAUAUGAAAGACAGUUUGAGCAAUGAUAAGUUUCAAAAGAAGUUUACGUAGUGCUCAACAUUCUUGUUAUUAAUACCGAUGCAUUUUAUGUGAAUAAUAUGUAAUCUGGAGGUUCCUAGUUGACAACAGUGUCGUAUACUUGUAUGAGAAAAGCUUAUUUUUGUGCUUUGUUCAGUAAUAGAAUCUGCCAUGUUUUGAGAAGUUAUGAAUGAACAUUUUACUUGGUUUUUGGAAUAACCUUCCACAGUGCAUCUUUAGCUGUAUAUAAUCUGCUUUCAUUAACACCAUAAUAUUUAGCUAAAUUUUCAAAAUGGUUUUGACAUUGUCUCAUUUAUCUUGUUCGUACGGAGUGUCAAACAGGUUUGUUAAAAACAUCUGCCAGUUAACGUACUGGAGAAGAUCGAACAGAUUUGAUGGGUCUGUGCCUUUGUGACGUUGUCAGAUGGUAAGAGAACAUUGAAUCUUUUUUCCUUGAAAAUCGCCAUGUAUACUGACAGUGGAAGAAUAACAGCUAGAGGAUGAAUUUACAGGUUAUAUUGAAGCUCGGCCUGCUCUGCAUGUCAACCAGGCCUAUAUACACCCCUAAAGCAAUGUACUGUAGAUCAACUCAAAAUUACUGUCAACAAAAGGCCAUCGACCGGUGUUCAUCUGACAUUUCCAGUGACAGACCUAAUCGAUUAGUACGGUGGCGAAUAAGAAAAGGCUUGGGUGUUAAUAGCAGAAUAAAAAAAAUGAGAAAAAGUAAAGCCCAAUAGACUUUCAAAAUAGCCUAAUAAUCUUACUAAAAGUCUAAAACCCACCAUUUCUUCUUAAACCCUCCAGCAGUUUCUCUCUCUCUGUAAAACCAGAGAAAAUGAGUGUGGUUUUCUCUUCAAAUGGCUUGAAAUCAUUACAACUUCGCCCAACAUUUUCAAGGGUUUUUGGGGUUUUCUUCUACACAACAAAAACCCAAACUUCAAUACCACCAAUUGAUAAGAAAGAUACCCUUUACAAAAGAAUAUCUCCAUUAGGUAAUCCAAGGGUUUCAAUUGUUCCAAUUCUUGACCAAUGGGUUCAAGAAGGUAAACCUGCUAAGCCAAAAUAUCUUAAAGAUAUGAUACAUGAGCUUAGAAAGUAUCGACGAUAUUCACAUGCUCUUGAGGUAACAAUUCUAUUCUCUCUUCAUGUUUUUUUUUACUCUAAAAUUAUGAUAUUUUAUUGUAUUGAUUCAUUUUUAUAAACGAGUUACACCACUGCACCAGUUUACAACGAGUUACACCACUACACCAGUAGCAUUUAUAAAAAAAUGACCUUGUAAAAUGUUUUCGCAUUUGGUAAUAACCUUGCAAAUUGAAUUUCUGAAAGAACGGUAGUGAAAACUCAAGUAAAACAAGUAGUAAACAACUAAUGAGAGGAUUUAUAUGUGCAUUAAAUAACACAAAACUUUUGUGAUAGUUUUUUUAUUCACGAUAUGUGCAUUAAUUAAAUGCAUUUCAAAUUAUAUGACUAAUUUCUAUCAUCUUGCUUAUCAUUUUGGCUUGUUUUGAGGGCUUUUUCAUCACCGCUCAGGCUGUACUGAGAGCCUAAGGGCCAUUUUGACAGGCCUACUCAUUUUUUGUAGUCUCAAGUGUUCAUCACCACCUAAUUAGGAAAGUGUCAUAGGCAUGGAGUUGUUUAUCCUUCCAGAAACUUCGAGAAUAACUUCUUAAACAAGAGGCGUUACUAAAUCAAUAAGCCAUUAUUGAGGUGUUAUAGGGUUGGCCAGAGAUAAGAGCGAGUACUGGGGGAAAAUUCAAGUGGCCUAUGUUACCUCCAUAAAUUGUCCGUCGCUACCAAUCUGUCCCAUCUCACACAAUUUACCCAAAAGGGCAGUUCCUGAGGUUGAAAUUUCCAAAGUGAAAAUGCGAGUAGGUUAGUCAGUAAGUGUACUACGUAUCUAUAUGUCCUUCAAAAUCAGCAUCGAUGUUUCUGGCUUAUAGGUCCUAGGCGUGUCCUCUGUCGAAAUGGAAGCAGUUGGAACUGAGAAUGUCUCUGUCAAUACAUUUGCCUUUCUCCUACUCUCAACCAUCUGAGGAACUGAAUUCUUUGUUAUAGGUCCUGCGUUGUCUUUCGUUUCAUCGUUGCUUGAUUUUAGAUCAGGUUAUACUCCUGUAAGGUCUUCAACCUAUCCAAGGCAUGGAUUUGGAAAGCAUUAGGGUCCAAGUAAGAAGAGCUUUUAAGUUAGGCUUUUUAGCUUUUGUUUGCCAGGAAACCACAAUUUUUCUGGAUCUUGCAUCUCAAGGGAGUGAUUUUUUUACCCGACCUAUAAUACGGAUAUAUUUUAUAACUGCCUACUAAGGGGAGUUGAGGUAUAUAACACAGAUCAUUGCGUUAUUUACAUUCAUCUCAUUUACAUAAAACAAAGAAAAUUCCUGAAAGUUACCGUAUCUUUUUUCUUUCAGAUUUCUCAUUGGAUGACCGAUCGAAGGUAUGUUGACCUUUCACCAGGUGACGUUGCUAUCAGGCUGGAUUUGAUUUCGAAGGUUCAUGGCAUUGAACAAGCAGAAGAGUAUUUUACUAACGUUCCAAAGCAAUUCAAAGUUUUCAAGCUCUACAAUUGUCUUCUCAAUUGCUAUGUCCAUAAAAAAAUCAUCGAAAAAGCAGAAGCUCUCAUGCAGAAGAUGAGGGACAUGGGCUAUUUGGAGUCAUCAGCGUACAAUGCAUUGCUAAACUUGUACUUCCAGGUUGGACAGUAUGAGAAAAUAGACAACUUAAUGGAAGAAAUGAAAGAGAUGGGUGUAACUCCAGACAAGUUUACAUUUAGGACACUGUUGAGUACGUAUGCGGCUACCUCUGACAUUGAUGGGAUGGAGAAGACUAUACAACUGAUGGAAGUAGAUCCCAACAUCAUUAUAGAUUGGAACUCUUAUUCUAUUGCCGCAAAUGGAUACAUCAAAUCUGGGCUUAUUGACAAGGCUUUCAAAAAGCUGCAAAAAUUAGAGGAAAUAAUCCCCAAUAAAGAAAUGAGGUCUGCACGUGAUAUUCUCCUUUCCCUGUACGGAGCUGCAGGGAGGAAAGAGGAUUUGUAUAGGAUUUGGAACUUAUGCAAGUCAUUUGGAAAAGCGUAUAACUCAUCCUAUAGUUGCAUGAUCGUCUGCCUGUUGAAAAUGGAUGACAUUGCAGGCGCGGAGAAGAUUCUGGAGGAAUGGGAGGCUGGACACAGUUCCUUUGACUUCCGGGUUCGAAACCGGCUGAUUUCUGCAUAUUGUAAUAAUGGCCUUCUGGAGAAGGCGGAACUGUUGAUAAAUAAGGCAAUCGAGAAAGGGGAGAAGCCAUAUCCAAAUACAUGGGACAUUUUGGCAUCAGGUUAUAUUAAGGCUAAUAAGAUGCCAAAGGCUGUAGAGGCCAUGAAGGCAGCAUUCUUAGCUAGUAAACCGGGAUGGAAGCCAUAUCGUGAUAAUUUAGCUGCCUGUCUGGUUUACUUAAAACAGCAGGGAGAUGUUGAAAAAACAGAGGAGUUACUGAGACUACUUGGGGGCCCUGGUUAUAUGUCAACAGACGUUUGCGAGAGAGUAAUGGAUUGUUUCUAUACAUCUAAACGAGUAGAACCAGUCGAAGCCAGUGAGGUGGAGAGUAAUGAUUCGAUUGUUGAAGAGACAAAUCAAAACACGAAUGAAGGUACCUAAGAGUUGGUGGUUGAGCAACUAUGCAUUAUAUUAAACAUACAAUUGGCACACUCAUGCGGUUGACAAUAGUGCAUGUUACUUCUUGUGAUUUGCCUAGUCUUCACAUAGACAACGAUGAGUGGAAAUAACAUAUGCUAACCAGGUUAGGAAUGUAUUUGUUUGGGAUUUAUUGAAUCUAUAAUGUCUUAGAUCUUCAGUGUUCUUUCUGUUUAGCCUGGCGAUCUAAACAUAUAGCUAUUUUGACAGAUGUCAUCGUCGUAAAUCCAUAUCAAAAUUAUGAUUACUUUGUUAGCAUUUUUGUGUUUGUUAAUAAAAUUUCAGAAAAACUUGUCUUAGAAAGCAGUUCUUGAAGGAUUUACGCCAUGGAACCGAUGAACUACCUGUGGCAGCUGUGUUGUUUUUUUGUCGUAUACUUAAUUGAUGGACUACAAAACCAACAGUAUGGAGCUCGAUAUAGACAGCGCCAGGUCGACAUUUAUGAAUACUGGACUCUGCUGGUUUGCUGGUGUUGAUAGUAGCCAAACUCUGACAUGUUUGGAGGUCAAAUAAUUCUAUGGUGAAGUAAUAAAUGACAUAGGACUUAUUGUCAUUGACUCAUUGUAGUUUACAAUGUCAUUUGACAUUCCAAUAUCCUUACCGCCGCGGCCUCCAACUCCAAUAGAUCCAAAUUGUGUCUACUUCUCAUCACCUCUCCUGCAGAUAUAUAGUUUGUUGUUCUGUAUGCAUGUAACUUGAGGCUCUUACAUACUGUAUGCAAAGAAGAAGAAUUCUUCUUCUUGAGACUGGGUUGAAUAGACCAAUUAUAUCUCCAGUAUUGUUGCUGCUGUCAAAUAUUAUUAGCCAACCCUCUAAAGAUCCACAACAGGUACUCAAUAAUUUUGUGGAAUGAUUUGGUUGAUGAUUUGAUUGUGAUAAAAAAUAGUGCUUAUUGUUGUGUUUGUGUUGGAUAAAUAAUAAUGCAGAAAGGUAAGUAAAAGCCAUUACUAUUUAUAUUUAUACAAUACAUGUGUUUGGCAGUAGAUCAGAUCAGAGAACUUUAGGCUCUUGCUGAUUGCUAAAUAGACGCGCACAACAACACUACUAAUCUUAAUAAUAAGUACCUAAAAAAAAAAAAGAGGGACAUGCUACAUUGUUACCAGUUCAGAACGGGUACAACUAGAUUUCGACAACGAAAAAUCUUGGUUUAUCUGUUCUAGUUCUUCAUCUGAUUUUGCUAGAGAUAUUAUUUGUUCCAUCCUUUUCUUUAGGUCAUCACGUUUUUUUCUGAGUUUACCUAUUUCAAGCUCUUGUUCUGCACAUAUUUUCUUUAGGUCUUCUAGUUUACGCCUCUUCAAUCUUAUAGCUUCAGUUGUUGGAUAUGUCACCUUUUCUUUAUUAGUUGCUGGAUGUUUUGAUAUUGUUUUAUCCUUCUUCCACAUGCCAUUAAAUAACUUGUAUAAUUUCAGAACUGCACUGCACAUUUAUUUACUUCGAUGUCGGUGCCUGUAAUCAUACUGUCUAUUCCAGAACGCAAUCUUGAAGGACAGCUGCGCUCUGUGUUCUUUUCUUGUCAUUUAAUGUGCUCUCUAAGAAUAUACUUGUGUUGUUAUACAUCUUUUAGAAGAUUGAGCUACGCAACUCCUUUGAGGAACUCAAGUUUUCUGCAAAGAAGUUGGAGUAAUAUGUAAUAUUAGUCUGCUGAGUUUAUACCUCUAGGUUUUGCAACUGAACAACUACUCUACUUAAGAUUGGAAAGACCCUAGAGGUUGAUGAGCUAAUAAUGAUGAUGCUAAACAACUUUAAAAUUCCAAGAAAGUAAGACUGCAAUAAAUUAAAAAACAAAUUAUCUGUCUCUUGAACAGUUUGUAAAACCUCAAUUACUGUUUCUCGAACAGAUUUGGAGUUGAUUGAAUCAAAUAUGCAACACUCCCUUGUCGUAUCUCUGAUCAUUUGUACUUUUUCAUUUUAAUUUUAAAAUGAUGGGAAAUAAUUCUUCCGUUUUUUUAGCUUACACCAAUAUCUCAAUAUCUUUUUGUGCAUGCAUUUCCAAUCAAAAGUUUUGAUUCCCACAAGAACUAUACAAUAGGUUUAGUCUAGAUUCCAAGGUUUCUAGAUUUAAUAACAAAACUAUAUAAAGCUCUUGCUGUUGAGUCAUGAAAAUUGAAUUUUAUAGGAUCGGAAUAACAUGAUUGUGAAAGGCUGGAAUAUCAAAAUAUUAGCAUACAUUUAUUCACCAAAACAAAAUGAAGCCCAACAACAGAUGUUCGUUUUUAGUCGAUAAAGAACCACUAAAAUUAAUAAUAUAGGUAAUGUACUUAGGUCUGUUAUUCAAAAUUAGGCAACUAACUCUCAAGUUAUCUUAUUUGGGCAAUGUACUACCAAUUUGCAUUUACGUGGCUUUGUGGCCUAUAAUGAUAUGUGGACAUAUAAUUUUAUUUUUAAUUUUUUUGAAUUUUUUUUUAAAACACUUGUAAGAACUUCUGUUUUU
This 18789-nucleotide long non-coding RNA is filed under the name Aquilegia coerulea. RNAcentral's name for it is "long non-coding RNA (ACOE_LNC000744)". The record is from RNAcentral. Lineage: Eukaryota; Viridiplantae; Streptophyta; Magnoliopsida; Ranunculales; Ranunculaceae.